AGGUGGGAGGGGAGAAACCACCAGUGCUCCUGGUCUCCACUCUAAAGGUGGAAGAAUGGAGGUCGAAAUCAUCAAUCUCGAAGUCCUCAAAGAAAGGAUCGACGACCCUUACCCCCUGGAUGUUAUAACAAUUACACGCCCUUAACUGUUUCUAGGAGAGAGAUGUUAGUGGAAAUUCAAGCUGAGCUACCCCAGCCUCCUCAGAUGCAGACGAAGCUAAAGCACCGCCGCA
Molecule: long non-coding RNA, 232 nt
Filed under: Elaeis guineensis (African oil palm)
Lineage: Eukaryota; Viridiplantae; Streptophyta; Magnoliopsida; Arecales; Arecaceae
Description: long non-coding RNA (EGUI_LNC012821)
Source: RNAcentral